Molecule: long non-coding RNA, 418 nt
Organism: Lycium ferocissimum
Lineage: Eukaryota; Viridiplantae; Streptophyta; Magnoliopsida; Solanales; Solanaceae
Exons: 2
Source: RefSeq, a predicted model, not a curated record
GAGCAAACCCAUAAACAGUUCUCAUUCUCCAUCAACACCAAUUCAAGAUUCAAAUUUUACAAUGCAUAAUCUUCAACCAGAACUCAUUCUUGAAAUCCUCUGGACUACCAGUUAAAUCCCUCUUGAAAUUCAGUAAUAUUGACAUCAGGAAAAAUGGGUUGAAUGAGGAGAAUGCAGUUGAGGAAAUAUUUGGCUGCUACGAUCAUGAGAGUAGAUUGCUCAUACCUGUGAACACGGGGUUCUAGACGAAAUAGAUUGGGCGUGAAGCUUUGUUUACUGGGGUCCUGUCUACUCUAGAGUACAUGAAAGUGCAAAAUUUUGUCAUCUUUAAUCUUUGUCAUUUCAAACAGGAAGAUUCCUACUAUAAUGAAUUCUCUUAUCUUGUUUUUUGAUAGAGCUAAUAUAUCUAAGUUGGCUA